This 343-nucleotide long non-coding RNA is filed under the name Homo sapiens (human). RNAcentral describes it as "LNC_000339". Lineage: Eukaryota; Metazoa; Chordata; Mammalia; Primates; Hominidae. The record is from RNAcentral.
UCCUCUUCAGUUAUGUGAGGUUUAUCCCGUUUCCAACGAAAUUCUCAGAGAAGUCCCAAAAUCCACUUGCAUAUUCCACAAAAGGUGUGUUUGGAAAUUGAGCCAUGAGAAGAUAUGCUCAGCUCUGUGAGUUAAACUCAAUCAUCGCAAAGAAUUUUCUGAGAGUGCUUCCGUCUUGUUUUUAGAUGAAGUUCUUUCCUUUACUACGAUAGGCCUCAAAGAGGUCCAAAUCUCCACUUGCAGAUUCUGCAGAAGGAGUGUUUCAAACCUGAACUGUCAGAGAAAGGUUCAACACUGUGAGUUGAAUGCAAGCAUCACGAAGAAGGUUCUGAGAAUGCUUCUG